ACUCGGCUAACGAGUCCCAAAUAGGAUGAAACGCGUGUCCUGGAU
Non-coding RNA from Schistosoma mattheei, 45 nucleotides. NCBI's taxonomy places the organism in Eukaryota, Metazoa, Platyhelminthes, Trematoda, Strigeidida, Schistosomatidae. The record is from Rfam.